UAGCGGAGGAAAAGAAACCAACUGGGAUUACCUUAGUAACGGCGAGUGAAGCGGUAAAAGCUCAAAUUUGAAAUCUGGUACUUUCAGUGCCCGAGUUGUAAUUUGUAGAAUUUGUCUUUGAUUAGGUCCUUGUCUAUGUUCCUUGGAACAGGACGUCAUAGAGGGUGAGAAUCCCGUUUGGCGAGGAUACCUUUUCUCUGUAAGACUUUUUCGAAGAGUCGAGUUGUUUGGGAAUGCAGCUCAAAGUGGGUGGUAAAUUCCAUCUAAAGCUAAAUAUUGGCGAGAGACCGAUAGCGAACAAGUACAGUGAUGGAAAGAUGAAAAGAACUUUGAAAAGAGAGUGAAAAAGUACGUGAAAUUGUUGAAAGGGAAGGGCAUUUGAUCAGACAUGGUGUUUUUUGCAUGCACUCGCCUCUCGUGGGCUUGGGCCUCUCAAAAAUUUCACUGGGCCAACAUCAAUUCUGGCAGCAGGAUAAAUCAUUAAGAAUGUAGCUACUUCGGUAGUGUUAUAGCUUUUUGGAAUACUGUUAGCCGGGAUUGAGGACUGCGCUUCGGCAA
RNAcentral lists this ribosomal RNA (558 nucleotides) under Hanseniaspora uvarum. Its description in RNAcentral is "partial large subunit ribosomal RNA". It matches the Rfam family "Eukaryotic large subunit ribosomal RNA", at positions 48 to 608 of the family's 3401-position model. Lineage: Eukaryota; Fungi; Ascomycota; Saccharomycetes; Saccharomycodales; Saccharomycodaceae. The record is from RNAcentral.